AUGAUCCCCAAACCCCGCCCUAGCUCCGCGCCCGACCACCGGUUCGACGGCUCCCUUGCUGGUCCGGUGCGGCGGCGAAGCUCUACCGCAGUAUUUCUGGAUGGCAACAAAGCAUUUGUCAACCUUGCUGCUAAUUGUACUACCACCACUUACGAUUGCUUUACUAGUGUUGCUAUGGUUUUUGCCCGCCCUUCGGAAGAGAGGAGUGUCCUCAUUUCCACAAUGGAAUGUUGUGUCCAAGAUGUUUUGUUUUUGUGCCCAUCACAAGAGAAGAGAAAGUGGAUAAAGUUCCAUGCAACGAUGAGAAGAAGCUGA
Molecule: ribosomal RNA, 315 nt
Filed under: Triticum aestivum (bread wheat)
Lineage: Eukaryota; Viridiplantae; Streptophyta; Magnoliopsida; Poales; Poaceae
Description: partial small subunit ribosomal RNA
Source: RNAcentral